GGCGGCGUGCUUACACAUGCAAGUCGAACGGUGAAGCCCAGCUUGCUGGGUGGAUCAGUGGCGAACGGGUGAGUAACACGUGAGCAACCUGCCCCUGACUCUGGGAUAAGCGCUGGAAACGGCGUCUAAUACUGGAUACGAGUAGCGACCGCAUGGUCAGUUACUGGAAAGAUUUAUUGGUUGGGGAUGGGCUCGCGGCCUAUCAGCUUGUUGGUGAGGUAAUGGCUCACCAAGGCGUCGACGGGUAGCCGGCCUGAGAGGGUGACCGGCCACACUGGGACUGAGACACGGCCCAGACUCCUACGGGAGGCAGCAGUGGGGAAUAUUGCACAAUGGGCGCAAGCCUGAUGCAGCAACGCCGCGUGAGGGAUGACGGCCUUCGGGUUUGUAAACCUCCUUUUAGCAGGGAAGAAGCCGAAAGGUGACGGUACCUUGCAGAAAAA
This 443-nucleotide ribosomal RNA is filed under the name Microbacterium phyllosphaerae. RNAcentral's name for it is "bacterial SSU rRNA". It matches the Rfam family "Bacterial small subunit ribosomal RNA", at positions 38 to 489 of the family's 1533-position model. The record is from RNAcentral. Lineage: Bacteria; Bacillati; Actinomycetota; Actinomycetes; Micrococcales; Microbacteriaceae.